Molecule: long non-coding RNA, 15603 nt
Filed under: Xyrichtys novacula (pearly razorfish)
Lineage: Eukaryota; Metazoa; Chordata; Actinopteri; Labriformes; Labridae
Source: RNAcentral
UCUGGUCGUCAGUGAAGCCUCGUACUUCUGUUACCCUGUCCACAUGUGAAGGAGGGAUCUGAUUGGCUGCUGCAGGUCGAGAAGUUAUCCAGAUGAGAGCUGAGGGGAGCAGGUUCCCCUUGAUGAGGUUUGUUAUCAGAACGUUCAGUGAAGACUUCUGUGUGACGUCAGACACCACCUCAGAGUCUGUGAAAUCCAGAGACAGUCUGCUUUCAUCCAGACCGUCAAAGAUGAACAGAAGUUUACAGACAGCCAGCGUCUCUGCUGUGACCUUCUCUAGGGUUGGAUGGAAAACAUGGAGCAGACUCAGAAGACUGAAGCGCUCAUCUCUGAUCAGGUUCAGCUCCCUGAAUGAAAGCAGGACCACCAGAUGGAGGUCUUGGUUCUCCAAACCCUCUGCCCAGUCCAGAGUGAACUUCUGCACUGAGAAGGUUUUUCCAACACCAGCCACGCCGUUGGUCAGAACCACUCUGAUGAGCUUCUUCUGUUGGUCAGGUAAGGUUUUAAAGAUCUCAUGACACCUGAUGGGCGUGUCAUGGAGGGUCUUCAUCUUUGAAGUAGUCUCCAGCUGUCUCACCUCAUGUUGGGUGUUCACCUCUUCACUCAGUCCCUCUGUGAUGUAGAGCUCAGUGAAGAUCCUGUUGAGGAGGGUUUGACUACUUCCUGUUACAUCACUUCCUUCAUUCACACGUUCACAUCUCCUCUUCAGACUUAUCUUAUGUUCAUCUAAAACCUCCUGCGGGAGGCCAUCUUCUGAAAGAGAAGAAAAAUAAAAUGAACCAAACUUCUCAACACUGAAACGUCUUUGUGAAAAUCAGUCAGCUGAGUUUUCAUCCACACAGACUUUUCCUCACAGUCCGUCGGCGCCGACACCUUUAUACAGGCGCUCUUUAAAUUACCGUAACUUUGGGAUAGUUUGUUCUAUCAAAAAAAAAUCUCCAACGGUUUCUGAAAAGUGAGAAGUUGCGCCACACGGCCAAUAAACGGUUAUUACGGUAAUUUCACUCCUGCUGUUUAGAGAGGAAAUCUGUCUCUCCGUCCCCUCUCCCCCUCACAAAGAAAGCAGUAGAUAGACAAACAACAGAGCAGAGAAACGGAGCAAAAAGAGAGAAAAAUUACCAAAAAAAAAGUGAUUAUUUCAGAGGAAAAUGUCUGUGAUAAAUCCUUCCUGAGUGAGAAAACCUCCACUGAGGUUUACAGACGACUUUGGGACCGAUGGAGAAGCUUUCAGAGAAACUUCAGACAGAGAAAGGUAAAGUUUGACUGGUUGAUUUUCUGAGUGGGUUUCUGGAUGAAUGAAGGGCUCUCUGUUAACCUGCACUGAUCUUCCCUCUUUUAGUGAAUGUUAGUAGAAUGGCUUCUGUCUGUCUUAGAGAUAUUUUUAGUUUUUAUUGUUCUGCUGGGACGUUAUUGUGGAAACAGAUGAAAGACACUGCCGACACAGAACAGGUGUUAGGUGACGUCAUCCUUUUUGUUACCGAAAUAAUUACAGAUAAGUGACGUGGCUUUUCUUUUAAUCAACGAAUAUUCAUCUUCAAUGGUAAGUGACGUUGCUUUUCUUUUAAUCAACGAGUAUUCGUCUUCAAUGGUAAGUGACGUUGCUUUUCUUUUUACUAAAAAGUUUUCAUCUUCGGCGGUUUUCUCUUGUUGGUUUCUCAUUUGCAGCCGUUGAUGUGUUGCCGAGAAACACAUGCCCCCCGAGAAUUACAUCCACUUGGCAGAAAUGCUCACCGUUUAUAGUAGAGUAUAGCUACGUGCCCAAACAAGCCAUGGGCAGAUGAAGUCUAAAAGAACUAGCAUGAGGAGACGACGCUGCAAACUUUGUCAUAAGGAGAACUGUCUGGAAGUGUGAGGGGUGUGAUGUGGGUCUGUGUCUGCAGACAGAAAGGAACAGCUUCUGACAGUUUCACAAAGACCUCUGAGUGAGAGAGGAGAAACGCCUGGACACAGUUGUAUUUAGUUAGCCUGUUUUUGCACUUGGAGAGACAGCACUCCAAAGUUUUUGCUGUAAAUAUGUUUGAUACUCUUUAAUUUUUUUAUUUCAAAUGAACAAUCUGUUUUUCAUGAAUAUUUUCUGUUUUUUUCUCAUUAAAACUCAAAAAAAAUUGUAUUCCGUUUUUGUGUUUUUCUUUAUCUUACAAUGUUAAAGCACUCUUUUAACAGACAGUAAAUCGUAAAUGACAGCCAGAUAUUGAAAGUUUUAAGUGCUCUGGAAAAAUGGGUAAAACUCAACUUUAUUUGUAAAGCACUUUAAAACAACCACAGCCAACCAAAGUGCUGUAUAUAAAUAGACAAAAAAGCAUAGACAUAAAAAAAAAAAAAAAAACAUAAAACACUAAAACAGGAGCCGAGUCUCAUGCAGGGUUGAAAGCCAAUGAAUAAAAAAGCACUCACUCAUAGGACAUUUUCUGCCAAUUUUAUGGCUAAAAUAAGCAAAAUAAUUCAGGCAGAAAUUGUAUAAUUUAGGGUUUAAAGGUGUUCAGACUUACUUCGAUCAGAGCUGGACUGGCUGUCUGUCUGAAGAACAAGAACUGUUCUGGUUCUUUUUCCACACUGAGGACAGGAGGUGUGUCCUGAAGAAGUAGACUGGUCCCUGAAUGAGGCGAGGCACUGUCUGCAGAACCUGUGUCCACAGCGGGUAGAGACUGGAUCCUUCAGGACAUCCUGACAUAAAGAACAUUUGGACAGCUGCUCCUCCACAGAGUCACAUCUCUGUGUCUCUCUGUGGAAAUAAAGAACAUUUAUUUUCUUUAUUAUUUCAUGUUUGAAAGAUACAGAAUAAGAAACAUUUAUUAAACCAGAGUUUCUCUUUUCUCUAACAUAAAACAAUCUCCUGUAAAAUAUUCAGCUGCUGCUGCCUGAAAGUGUCGUGACAAGAGAAAAAACUAAACUGUGAUUUUUGAAGGUAGAGAGAUUUUCUCUGACAGUUUAAAACUUUUUUUUUGACCAAUCAGAUCUAAAGGUCUAAUAACAGACAGAUGCUCUGAAUUAUGUUUUUAUUUUUCAGGAUUUAUUUCUUCAUUGGUCUUCUGGUAUUUUGUGACCCACAGACUGUUUUCUGGGGUCUAUACACCACAGUCCAAAGACUAACAGGCUCAAAACGUCCCAAACACAGGAACCAAAUCAGAAAAUACAAGAAGUCAGAAUCCUUUUCAAAUGCUGUUUUAUACGACCUUCAUUUUUAUCAACAUCAAGAAUAAUAAGUAAAUCUGUGCUCAGUGAGUUUUUCUUUACCAGCCUUUUAUCCAUUACAAGAUCAUCUUUCUAUCAUCUCAAAAAUAUCUCCAAACUGAGGGGCUUUCUGUCAAAAUCAGACUUAGAAAAAUUCAUCCAUGCAUUUAUAAGAAGUAAACUGGAUUACUGUAACAGUUUAUUCACUGGACUCCCAAAAUCAAGUCUUCAGAGGUUACAGUUAAUUCAAAAUGCAGCUGCAUGAAUUCUCACUGGUACCAAAAAAUAUCAACACAUCACACCCGUUCUCAAAUCUGUACAUUGGUUACCCGUUAGGACAAGAAUCGAUUUCAAAAUACUCCUCCUGGUUUACAAAGCACUACAUGGCCUUGCACCUCAGUACAUCACAGAUAUGCUCAUCACCUACACCCCAGCAAGAACACUUCGGUCAACAGGCAGUGGCAACUUACUCAUCCCUCACACCAGAUCCAAAUAAGGGGAGGCAGCUUUGAGUGUUUAUGCCCCACAAAAAUGGAACACCCUGCCUGACACAGUUAGACACAUCAGUAGCCAUCUUUAAAAACAGAUUUCUGUAGCAUUCGCGGUGAAGUUGGUUGACUUGCACUUACACUCUUAAAUUGAUUUCUAAUAGAUUUUUGUAUAACUGUUUUUAACUAUGUACACCUGUUGUGAAGAACAUUGAGUCUGCCUUUUGCAUGAAAUGGGCUUUAUAAAUAAAGUUGGAUUGAAUUGAAUUUUAUCCAGGUUGGCAGGUUCAAGAGGAAAAUCAGUGUUUUGAGAACAGAGGAGAAAACAGAGGGGUCAGGAUUUAAAGUUUUGUAUUUGAAACGUCAGAGGUUGUUUGAGAGUUUGGUGAUUGAAAAGUGUUUCUCUUACUGUGAAUCUGAGGGUCCUGGUUCUUCACUGAAUUUUGGUGGAGGAUCUUUAGACCGGUCACUCUUCAUAGACAGACAGCUGGAGAUAACAGACUUUGUUCUGUCCUGCUCUGGGGGUCCUGGUUCUUUACUGAAGUUUAUAUCAAAACCUUUAGACCGGUCACUCUUCAUAGACAGACAGUCAAACAUAUCAGACUCUGCUCUGCCCUCCUCUUCCUCGACACCAACACUCAUCUUCUCCAUCUUCUGUUGUGCAAAUUUAUGGAGGCUGAAACCGAGUUAUACAACCUGAGGACAAAGAAGACAAACAGGUGAGACACAAACAGGAAGAGAGAGUUCAGAAAUAAAAGAGGAAUCAGAAAGGAAGUACAGAGUCUAAAAACAGCUUCAUCCCCCUCUUUAAGAGUUAUACAGGUUUAAUAUCCAAGAACUUCUGAUGUCUCCCCACCCUGCAGGGCCUCUCUCUGAUCCUUGUCUGAUUCAUGGUCAAAACAAAAUCAGCUGUGAGGUCCCUGAACUCUCAGAAAAAAACUUAAGGAGACUGGAUUAAAUUUGAAAUGAGACGCUAAAAAGAUUCUGAUUCAUAUUUUUACCAAAAAGACAAGUCUAAACAAAGAGGAGGAAGAACUGCAGUUACACAGUUUCCUGUAUGAAGAACUGAUCCAGCUCUUUGUCUGCUCAGGUUUCUUUGUUUUACAGUUUUUAAGUGUUUUAGUCAGUAAAUCAUUUUUUCAUUAACAGAUAAAACAGAUAAAGAGUUUGACAUUAAAACUAAAACAGAGUAAACACUCACCCUGUCUCCUCGUCCUCUCCUCUCUCUUCUUUUCUCAAAAUGGAGUCUGUUUUUCAGCUCACAUACUUUCACUUUCACUCUGACUGUUUUCACUGAAACCUAAACCACCAGAUCACAGAUUCUUCUCCUCAUUUACUGACCGUUAUUCAUCAUCUUUUAAGUUCAGUAUUCUUGACAACCAUCUUCCUCUCCUGAGUCCAAAUUCAAAGUUCACUAAAACAGGAACUUGUUUGUUUGGUUGAGUCUCAGUUUAUUGUUAAUGCAGCAGCUCCACCUGCUGGUCAAACCAACAAACUUCAGAUGAGCGCUCCUCUUCUCAUACCCCAAUAAAUGUGAAGAUUUGGUUGAACAGGUUUUUAUUUUUGCACACAGUGUGAUUGUGUUGUCACUACACAAACUGCUCCUUCACCUCACUUUACAAAGAUCACUGUCCAACAUAUAUUUAGUUAGAUGUUGAAGUGAUAACACAAGUUCACGUUGUAUGCUUUAGGUAUCUCUGUCCUGUUAUCUGGGGCUCAGAAAUAAAGGUCGGCAAACCCGGACGUGUUUGUUUUUUUUUUUUCGUGGGAUGGUAGGGGAAGGUCCCACCCUCCUUCGCAUCUGAUUGGCUAGAAGUGCUAGGCUCCGAUUGGUUAUUCCUUAUGGCUGUGAAACGUCAUAGCAAACAUGAACCCCCUAAUAACUUUUAAAAAUUGAGCUGUACAGAAAAAAGAGGACUUGAGCACAAACCAGUCUGACAAUAACUACAUGUCAACAUCACAACCAGGAGGGAGAAAAAAUUAUGUUCUGUGUAAUAAAUUUCUAAAGUUCGUCCACAGCUCCAUAAGCUUUGCUGGCGCAGGCGGGAUUUAUGACCUAUACUGCAGCCCAUCAACAGAGGGUGCUGUUCUCAGAGUGGCUUCACCCAGCGAGGAGGCAGACUCUGUCCAUUCUAUAUACAGUCUCUGGUUUUUCUUCUUUUGCUUUAGUAACCCCUUUUCAGAUUUCUGGAUCAAAGUACCCCCGAUAAAAGACGACCACCUGUUGCUUAGAAAACUAAAUCUAGGAUAUCGUUGAUGUCAUGCAGAAAUCUAUCUUUAUAUUUUACCUUUUUUUGUUAGAUGUGUGGAUUUGUCCUCCACAUACUUUAAAUGAACAAUAACACACCUUAGAGAGAAUAUCACAAAUGAAAACACAGGAAACAACUGUGCUGCACCCUGAUGAGAAAACCUUCCUCUACUUUUCAGACUCACUUUGAGGACUUUUUAAAGACCAAAUCUAGUUUCUGUUUGAAUGAAAAAUAAUAAUAAUCAAUUGCACACAGUGAAUGAAACGAGCCGAGUUGACGUUUUUAACAUGUUUUGGUUCAAAUAAAGUUUUUAUUAUCUUUAAAUGACAUUGUUACAGUGAAAUGAAAUAAAAAAUGAUCUGGUGUAAAUGAAGAACCAACAUAGUGUUACACAGACAGAGCACAGAUCUAUUGAUAGUAGAUUAGCUGAAGAGGACAAAUCUGUUCACAAUAGUUCUAUGUUUAAUGUUUCUGUGGUGUGAGCAGACUGUGACAUGAGCUGUAGCAUCAGUUUAUGAAGCUGAGAUUGUAAUCAACAACACUGAGUUUAUAAAACAGCAUCGACCACGUUAGUGACUUCACCCUGAAUAGAUGCUGAUCUCACUUUUUCCAGACUCCAGUCAAUACGGUUAUUUUUGUCUGUCAGAGGAAAACUUCUCCAUCAUAAUAAAGUAAAAAUAAUGUUUUUGUUUUUGUUCAAGAAUCUUUCUUUUGACUGAUUAUAUUUCACACAUUUUAAUUUUACUCUCAGGUCUCAUUUAUGGUUUAAUAAUUGUAUUUGUUCAAACUGGAGGGAAUCGAUUAUUGAUGAGCACAAAGAUGAUAUGAGAACAAAAACAUGUAAAGAGACGGAAAAUAGUGUCUAAUAAUAUUAAAUAAAAUAAAUUUACCUCCAGUCAAUAUUUACCAUAAUUUCAGAAAAUGAAGAAGAAAACGGAUGAAUAAAAAUAAUCAAGUGAAAGAAUAAAGCUUCAGAUUUUUGUUAAAACCCCAAACCCUGUCCUCCUCCUCCUCCCUUCACCUCCAUCUCUCCUCACUUCUCUUCCUCUCCCUUCAGUUUAUAUUCGGUCUCUAACGGUGCAGAGGAAAGAAAAAACCUUUGGGUUUUAUCUGAACUUCUGAGUGAUCUACUCUCACACAUGGUAUCAACUCCUGCUACAGAAAUAUGAGGGAAUAAAUCAACUCCACCUCUUUAUAUUUCCACUGGGUGGCGCUGUAUCAUGGUAAAAAAAAGUAAUCCAAUCAAAGUGUAAAUUUAUGAUCAUGUUUCCAUCAACAAAACAAACCUGUUCAGACUGUUUGAUCCCAGAGUAUGAGGGAAAAUAUCAAAUAUCCAGAGUCCAGGUCCUGAGCUGAUCUCAGAGCAGGUCAAAGUGCAGCUCCCAGAGUCCUCUCCGCCCGCUGUGAUUGGUCAGUCAGUCUCUCAGUCAGAGACUCACCUCACCCUCACUGCUGCUGCCUCCACCUCUCUGAUCGUCAGGAAACACACGAUCCUCUUCUUAAUCACUCUGACGGAUGUUAUCACCAUCUGAGGAGAGAAAAAAAGACGAUCAGUGUUUCCACUCUGAGACUCACUUCAUCAGCUGGACUGAAGAACAUCCAGUUUACAGACCAGCAGGUCUCAGUCCUGCUCAGACCAGAAGUGAUGGUGUAAAGCAGCAGGUUUCCUCACAAAUAAACCAACAUCAUCAAAAUAAAGAAAUCAUUCCUGUCAAAUGUGUUAAAGCUGAUCGAACAAACCUGCUGUGAAAAUAACAAGUAUAAAGAACAGCUGUCUGUUUUCAGACUUAGAGCUCAAAAUCAACAAGUUAGCAGAGAAAUAAAGUCUGUGUUGAAUACAGAGAACUAUAAACUGGACUUCAGAGCAGAAACUGAACAUUUCUGUUUCAUUAUGUCUCAUUUCUACAUUUGAUCUGAAAUAUAGAGACGAGGAGACACUUUUUUCAUCACUGACACUCUUACACUCCUGGUUUGAUGAUUUCUGUUCUCACAGCUUCACUAAAGAGAUAAUCCUCUGAGAGGGUCGAAGAGUCAGCAGGAAAUACUGAAUAUCUGCUGUGAUACUGUGUGGAGAGGAACAGGAGAGAUCAGCACAGACUAACUCCAACUCUAGACUGACAGCAGAUACUCCAGUAUGUAGUCUGGACUCUUCUGAAGAUCACACAGCAGCUUCUCUCCUGAAUCUUGCAGAUUGUUUUCAGUCAGGUCCAGAUGUCUCAGAUGGGAGGGGUUGGACUUCAGAGCUGAGGCCAGAGAAGAACAGCUGAUCUUCGUCAAACUGCAGCGCCACAACCUAAAUAAAGAGGAAAUAAUGAGAUUUUAGACAAAAAUGAUCCAGUUUGAAACCUGAUGUCUUAAAUCUGUAGAGUUCAGGGGAAAGGUUUGGAAAGUCUGAAUCAAAGAAAAGUGACGCUCCAAAGAGCUGAACCAAACAGGAAGUCAGUUUGAAACAGUGAAUUCAAAAACACAUUAAAUAGUGAAAUAAAAAACUCAGAGACUUUUUUACUGAUUGUAGAUGCAGAUAAAAAAUAUCACGUGUUUGGGAGGUAAAUAUUUCAGUCUAAACACAGCAAGGCUUCAGAAAAGUGCAGAUAAACCAGAAAAUUCAGAUUUUUACACAAAGAUUCAAAAACAAAAUUCAAAGUAACAGAGCUGGACUUUCAUCAGAGUCAGAAACUAAACUCUGAGUUUUUUCUAUUCCCUGAUCUUGUCCUGAACAAAAGUUUGAAUGGUUCUCAUCUGACAAAUCUCCCCCUGCUUCUGUUUUCUGUCUGAAUGUGCUUCUCACUAUGAACUCUACAAAGAGUUUUCCUCUUGGGUUCAGGUUUUAAUUCACUGGAGCUCAGCAGUGAUCUAACUGGAGUCAAUCAAAUAAUCCACUGAUGCAGAAAAUCUACUCUGGACUGAAGGUGUUCAGUCUGGGUCAGUAUUUCAGUCCUGAGUCAGCAGUUUAGUGUCAUCAUCACAAACAAAUCAUGAUCAUGUUUGAAUGGAGGGAAAAAGUCUCACUCUAGAGUCUCCAGUUUACAGUUUGGACUCUGCAGAAAGUCACACAGAAGCUUCACUCCUGAAUCCUGCAGAUCGUUUAAGCUCAGGUCCAGAUGUCUCAGAUGGGAGGGGUUGGACUUCAGAGCUGAGGCCAGAGAAGAACAGCUGAUCUCUGACAAACUGCAUUUAUACAAUCUGAAAAAAGGAAAGAGAAUGAAGAUAAAAAUAAUUAAUAAUCAAACUUCAGGUGUUCAGGUUUAAAAUAUGGAGCUUAGAGAACUCCAACAGGAGACCUUUGGACCAGAUCCAGUCUGUCAGAGCUCAUGAUCUGGUCUGCUCUGACCCUCCAUGUAAAAUAACAGACAAGACAUCAAAUGUGAUGGAGCACUGGUUUGGAUUAGAGGUUCAGGUGAUCAGAAGGUGGAGUCCUUGUUGCAGCAGUUGCUGGUUGGACUCCCAUGAUCCUUUGCUGUAAGUCCUCCCUCACUCUCUACUCCUCGUUUCCUGUUCCUCUUCAGCGCUCGGAUCAAUCAAAGUCUUCAAAAUGAACUUGAACUGUGACAUGGAGGAAACAGGAGGAUCUUUGUCUGCCUUCAUCCCUCACUGUACACUGAUCUUCAACAAGAACACUCAACCCAGAAUAACAGACUGUGUUGUCUCUACUGUCAGAACUGGACCAGACCAGCCAGCAAUCCUCCAGAUCUGAGUUCAUGGAAGUCAGUGACAAACCAGAAAUACUCUCAACCAAGAAGAGCUCAGAGAGAGUCACCCAGGACACUGAGCCCACCUCCCUCAACCAGGCUGGUCUUAAGAGUUUGUAUUGAGCAGAUCCAGCCCAUGUGAAGCUGAACCUGAAUGUGCUCUCAGACUGUAACAUCAGCGCUCUGCCAAACAGAGAAUGGAUGAGACUCUGAUGAGACAGGUCAGCUGACUCUGUCUGCAACAACAUCACCUUUACUGCUUUACUCUUCUCCCUCACCUUCAUCAGGAUCAACAAGGUCAGAGAGCAGACAGAUCCACUCUUCCUCUCACUUUGUCAUUGAUUCACUGAUGGCUGAGUUCACUCACAUUUCAUUUAGUCCACUCUCUAAUCGGGUUUUUACUGCAGGAACCUUUCAAACCAUAUGAGCAGUUAUUGAGCUGCAGAAAAGAGGCAGUGGAGCCAAAACAGGAACCUGAUCAAUCUGAUCAUUGAAUAUUGAUCAGGAGAAAAAUCAAAAUGGUUCAAAUAAUAUUGAGAAGAAGAAAAUCUGAGAGUUUGGUUCUUUAACUUAUUUGGUUCAAUCAUAAAAGUGACGAAGAAAACUUUGUUUUUGUGACUUCAGUCAUCACAGCAAAGAGACGAAGAAGAAAAUCUCUGUUAGUCUGUGUGUCUGUGUCUCUGUGUGUCUGUAUUUGUGUGUCUGUGUCUGUGUCUCUCUGUCUGUGUCUCUCUGUCUGUGUUUGUCUGUCUGUCAGUGUAGAUUCAGGCGUCUGUGUUUCUCACUGUCAGAGCAGAUCUUUCUCGUUUCCUCCUCAUGAAAACUCAAACCUCAUGUUCUGACCGAUUAAACUCAUUUGAUGAAAAAGUGAAUUUUUUUCAGAUUUGGUUUGUUUGGUGUUUUUUUGUGACUCUGAAUUUAUGAAGCAUCAUUAUUACUUUAAUAACUGUGAUGAAAACAAUGAUGCUAGCUGAAGAAACAACAACAAGGAAACUGGGAGCCCAAGUUUAGUCCAUGACUUUAUCCUCAUUAUUGUAAUGUGUCAAAAAGACUAAUAAACACCUGUCACAGUCUGAAAAAAGAAAAAAAUCAUGGAACCUCUGAAGAAACUGUUCCUGUUUUUAAUGAUUCAAUGUUCUUGAGCCCCUGAAGGACACGGAAGAAGAACUUUUUCAGAGUUGAUCUUCAGGAACUUUGUAAAAUCUUCUCUAAACUUUUUGAAGAUCCUGAGGAAUUUAUCAGUCAAGAAAAUUUUAAAGAAACAGAAAACUUUAGUGAGAUCCUGAGAAACUCAUGUGAGAAAUCUCAAAGGUUCUUUUGUAGUCCUGAAUUCUUCAUGAAGAUGAAAACAGUCAGGAGUUUAUUCAGGGGUCUGUCCGUCUGCUGUCAACAACUGCCAAACUACUCUUAAAUAAACCAACAGAUCAUUGAUCAGAGAGGUUUUUAUGGACCAACUGGACAAGAUGAUGUUCAUGUUCAACAAACUGAAGUGAAAACUGCAGACAAAUCUGGAUCUGGUUUUUACAUUUGAACACGACUGAGCAAAGAAGAAAUUCAAGUUUUCAAGAGUUUCCAAAUGAAAUAUCCAGAGUUGGAUUAACUUUGUUCUUCAGGUUUCAAUCUGCAGCUCCUCAUUUCUCUGACACUUCAUUCAUUCAUUAGUGAUCACAUUAACUGUGGAUCAGUUCAGUAUCAGUCUUUAGUCUGUGCUGCUCCUGCCCUCUACAAGCAUGUGUAAUAUUUGUGGACUGAUUUUCUCCUGCUUCCUUUCUACAUCCAUCGUUCUCCUCAAAGUCAACUCUGAAAUGUCGGAUUUUUCUUCCUGUGUUGAAGUUUUACAACGACAAAUUCAAACUGCUCGACCAAAGUUGAUGGAAAAACCACAGAGAAAAAUCUAAGGCAGCAGCUGUCACAUCUUAUUGUUAGAUCAGAAGGAAAUGGUGUCUCACCUCAGAGUCUCCAGUCUGCAGUUUGGACUCUCCAGUCCUGCAGAGAGAAGCUUCACCCCUGAAUCCUUCAGCUCGUUGUUACUCAGGUCCAGAUAUCUCAGAUGGGAGGGGUUGGACUUCAGAGCUGAGGCCACAACUUCACAGUGAGUCUCUGAGAGUCCACAGAGAGAAAAUCUGUAACAACAUAAAUAUCAACAAUAUUUCAUUAAAGGGUAAUUUGAUGUUUCUCCUCACCAAAAACAAACAUGAUCUUUGGUUUGACAGACGGCCUGUUUUUAACCAGACAGAUACUAAUAUCAGGACCACAGCCAUGAGAGAAGACAGGAAGUCAAAGUUUAGAAGAAAAAAAAAACUGUUUUGAUGUUCAAGACAAAUGACUCCAUGACUUAUUUUAGUCAUUCUGUUCUCUAACAGUGUUGUCUUCAUGUUAGUGCAGCUGGAUCAUUAUGAUUGAGUGAAUUCUUGAGUUCUGGUUGGAGAAGGGGACUGAGAACCAGGUUUUUGGUCCUGGUAUGUGAUUGGUCAGUAUCCAAAGUACCUCUUGGAGAAUCAGUGCUCCUCUCAGUGUUUAAUGUUGACAUCCUGCUGUAAUGUAAGUCUUUCCAUAGACACUGACUGUUGACCAAUCAGAGGACGACUCACUAAAUCACAGCAGCUCCUGUUUCUCUGAUUGGUUCAGAUAAAAACAUUUUUUAGCAGGUUAGAGCUGGUUUGACUCUGAACAUUUGAAGAAUUCAAAAUUUCUUUGUUUUCACAAUGAAAGUUUUUUCUCCAUGUAACUCUAGGGGGCGUACAUUCCCAUGAUUCCUAUAAAAAUAACAUUGAAUUUUUCUAGUUUGUGUGUUUGAUGCAGAAAGAAACAUCUGGAGUCAGAAGAAAUAAAAGAGAUUCAUCUUUGAACAUGUUUUCUUCUCUUUUUUAAAUGUUUGCACUAAAUCAUGAAGUGAGGUAUCAAUAAUGAGUCCUGAUAAUACCAACAUGGAGGAUCAAUAUGGGUACCUGUAUUAAUUCAACCUAAUCACAGCCAUGCUAGUUAUGACCAAAAACAGACUUUUCUGCUCCCUAAAAGAGUCCUUGUUAGUCCUUUAGACCUGGUUCAGUCUCUCAGACUCAGACCUGGAUCAAACCCCAGUCUGCUGCAGUGUUUGUUUACAGGCUGUUUCAGCAGAAGGCAGCAGUCUGACCAAUUUACAUCAACAUCUGAAACAGAGGCGUGCAGCCGAGUUACAGCCCACCAACAUCUCAACAUGAGAGGAAUCAUCUUCACUCUGCAUCACCAUGACAACAAAGGGACAACAUGGAAAACUGAUGAUGAUGAUGAUGAUGAUGAUGCAGUCACACUGCUUCUCCUUAGAGACAUGGUGUCCAUAUAUACAGUGGAAGAGCACGGCUGUUUUCACAUGCUAUGAGGUGUUAUGAGGCAGACUAGUGUAAGUGCCAACCUGCAGCACCGUGGGCAGAGAGAGAGAGACAGAGAGAGAGAGAGAGAGUGAGAGAGAGAGAGAGAGAGAGAGAGAGAGAGAGAGAGACAUUAACAUCCUAUCUCCACCACUUUUUUCAGACUCAUGGAGCUGCUGUCCAAAUACCUCCUGUGUUCUCAUCAUUCAUAUGUUCUAGUCCAGCAGAUAAUCUCCAGUGAGUGGUGGAAAAUGAUGUUAGUUUUCAUGGUUGUAUUGAUUAUGAAUACUGAAUGAUGAACAUGAUGGUACAGAGACAGUUCUGACACUGUGUAGAAAAUGAUCCAGUUCUAUUUUCACCAUCAAUGCUGUCAACACCCUCAUUUACAACAGAUUCAUCAUUUCCAACCUGAAAACCAGCAGGAAGAAGCUGCAGACACCUUCUUCAAACUCAAGUUCACCACAACUGACUGAGAUGUUGAUCUGGACUGAUACCAUCAUCAGAAGACCUCUGUGUGUCCUCAGAUAUGGUCGCUGAUUUGUCCUCAAAGUUCCACUUUAUUCAUUACAGACACGAUUCAAAACAAAGAGGUCCUCCACAAUCAGGACAAGUUCUCAGGGGUCCACAGGUAGACCUCAUCCUGGGCUAACAGGACUUUAGACACCAGGAUCAUGUUUUUGCUAAAGAAACCCCCUCCCUGAUAUUUGAUUUCUAUUUGAAGAAGAACAUCAUCAGUAACGUGGACAUUAGAAGAACUACAGGGAUCAUUUACACUUUUCUGAGAAUAAAACCUGGACUCACACAGCCUUUCUGCAGUUCCUCACAGCUGGGAUCAGUCUCAGUCGUCCCUGGUCUGAUGUUUUAUAAUUCUUUAAGUCCAACUCCUCCAGAACCUCCUCUGACAUCUGUAGCAUGUAGGCCAGAGCAGAGCAGUGGAUCUCUGAGAGUUCCUUCUCUGAUCUGUUCUUUGACUUCAGGAACUCUUGAAUCUCCUGAUGAACUGACAGAUCGUUCAUCUCCAUCAGACAGUGGAAGAUGUUGAUGCUUCUGUCAGGAGAGAUAUCUUCACUGUUCAUCUCCUUCAGAUUGUUGAUGACUGUUUGGAUCAUUUCUGGACUGUUGUCUGUGUGACCCAGCAGAACUCCUAAGAGUCUCUGGUUUGACUCCACAGAGAGUCCAUGAAGGAAGCGAACAAACAGGUCCAGGUGACCGUUUUUACUGACAAGGGAUUUCAUCAUGACACUCUUCAGGAAGACAUCCUGAGAUGAGAAAAAAUAAUCCAGGUUUUGAAAAAAUCUGUCAACCAUCUCUGAAGAAGACAUUUUAUCUUCAUCAUCGUUGCUUCUUAGGAAAGUCUUCAGAGCUUCUGUGUUCCUGUUUGUGAAACUGUGGAUCAUGUAGACUGCAGACAGAAACUCCUGAACGCUCAGAUGAACAAAACAGUAAACAGUUUUCUGGAAGAUCACACUCUCUCUUCUGAAGAUCUCUGUACAAACUCCUGAGUACACCGAGGCCUCUGAGACAUCCAGACCACACCGCUCCAGGUCUUCUUGGUAGAACAUGAUGUUUCCUCUGUUCAGAUGUUCCAAUGCCAGCCUCCCCAGCUUCAGGAGGACGUCACUGUCAGCAUCCAUCAGUGCCUGAGGACUUGUCUCAUGUCCUCCUCCAUACUUCUGCUUCUUCCUCUUAGUCUGGACCAGCAGGAAGUGUGAGUACAUGUCAGUCAGGGUCUUGGGCAGCUCUCCUCUCUGCUCUCUGAUCAUCAUGUCCUCCAGAACUGUCGCAGUGAUCCAGCAGAAGACCGGGAUCUGACACAUGAUGUGGAGGCUCCUGGAGGACUUGAUGUGUGAGAUGAUUCUUCUGGACAGAUCUUCAUCUGUGAACCUCUUCCUGAAGUACUCGUCCUUCUGGGUGUCAUUGAAGCCUCGUACUUCUGUUAUCCUGUCCACACGUGAAGGAGGGAUCUGAUUGGCUGCUGCAGGUCGAGAAGUUAUCCAGAUGAGAGCUGAGGGGAGCAGGUUCCCCUUGAUGAGGUUUGUUAACAGAACGUUGAGUGAAGACUUCUGUGUGACGUCAGACACCACCUCAGAGUCUGUGAAAUCCAGAGACAGUCUGCUUUCAUCCAGACCGUCAAAGAUGAACAGAAGUUUACAGACAGCCAGCGUCUCUGCUGUGACCUUCUCUAGUGUUGGAUGGAAAACAUGGAGCAGACUCAGAAGACUGAAGCGCUCUUCUCUGAUCAGGUUCAGCUCCCUGAAUGAAAGCAGGACCACCAGAUGGAGGUCUUUGUUCUCCAAACCCUCUGCCCAGUCCAGAGUGAACUUCUGCACUGAGAAGGUUUUUCCAACACCAGCCACGCCGUUGGUCAGAACCACUCUGAUGAGCUUCUUCUGUUGGUCAGGUAAGGUUUUAAAGAUCUCAUGACACUUGAUGGGCAUGUCAUGGAGGGUCUUCAUCUUUGAAGUUUUCUCCAGCUGUCUCACCUCAUGUUGGGUGUUCACCUCUUCACUCAGUCCCUCUGUGAUGUAGAGCUCAGUGAAGAUCCUGUUGAGGAGGGUUUGACUACUUCCUGUUUCAUCACUUCCUUCAUUCACACGUUCACAUCUCCUCUUCAGACUGAUCUUAUGUUCAUCUAAAACCUCCUGCGGGAGGCCAUCUU